AUGCAAGUCGAAUGCGAUUAUCGGCAUGGCAGACGGCUGAGUAAUACAUGGGAAUCUACCUCAAACUCGAGAAUAGCCCAUCGAAAGGUGGUGUAAUACUCGAUAGUUCCGUUUACGGUAAAGCUCCGGCGGUUUGAGAUGAGCCCAUGUCCUAUCAGGUUGUUGGUAGGGUAAUUGCCUACCAAGCCUAUGACGGGUAGCUGGUUUGAGAGGAUGAUCAGCCAGACUGGGACUGCGAUACGGCCCAGACUCCUACGGGAGGCAGCAACUAGGAAUCAUGCGCAAUGGACGAAAGUCCGACGCUGCGACGUCGCGUGAGGGAUGAAGGUCUUCGGAUCGUAAACCUCUUUUAUCUGGGAACAAGUUCUGAGUGUACCAGAUGAAUAAGUGCCUGCCAACCACGUGCCAGAAGCAUCGGUAAUGCGUGGGGCACGAGCGUUAUCCGGAUUUACUGGGCGUAAAGAGAUGCGUAGGCGCCUUUUUAAGUCACUUGUAAAAUCUCCCCGCUCAACGGGGAAACUGCAAGUGAUACUGAAUUGGUUGAGUCAAGCAGAGGAGAGGGGAAUUCCUGGUGGAGCGGUUAAAUGCGUUGAUAUCAGGAGGAAUACCAAGUGCGAAGGCACCUCUCUGGACUUGUACUGACGCUAAGGCUCGAAAGUGCGGGGAGCAAAACGGAUUAGAUACCCGUGUAGUCCACACUGUAAACGAUCCCUGCUAGAUGUU
RNAcentral lists this ribosomal RNA (723 nucleotides) under uncultured organism. Its description in RNAcentral is "bacterial SSU rRNA". It matches the Rfam family "Bacterial small subunit ribosomal RNA", at positions 55 to 824 of the family's 1533-position model. The record is from RNAcentral.